This 459-nucleotide ribosomal RNA is filed under the name Bacillus sp. (in: firmicutes). RNAcentral describes it as "bacterial SSU rRNA". It matches the Rfam family "Bacterial small subunit ribosomal RNA", at positions 336 to 786 of the family's 1533-position model. The record is from RNAcentral. Lineage: Bacteria; Bacillati; Bacillota; Bacilli; Caryophanales; Bacillaceae.
UUCCUACGGGAGGCAGCAGUAGGGAAUCUUCCGCAAUGGACGAAAGUCUGACGGAGCAACGCCGCGUGAGUGAUGAAGGUUUUCGGAUCGUAAAGCUCUGUUGUUAGGGAAGAACAAGUGCCGUUCAAAUAGGGCGGCGCCUUGACGGUACCUAACCAGAAAGCCACGGCUAACUACGUGCCAGCAGCCGCGGUAAUACGUAGGUGGCAAGCGUUGUCCGGAAUUAUUGGGCGUAAAGGGCUCGCAGGCGGUUUCUUAAGUCUGAUGUGAAAGCCCCCGGCUCAACCGGGGAGGGUCAUUGGAAACUGGGGAACUUGAGUGCAGAAGAGGAGAGUGGAAUUCCACGUGUAGCGGUGAAAUGCGUAGAGAUGUGGAGGAACACCAGUGGCGAAGGCGACUCUCUGGUCUGUAACUGACGCUGAGGAGCGAAAGCGUGGGGAGCGAACAGGAUUAGAUACC